Juglans microcarpa x Juglans regia is the source of this 1147-nucleotide long non-coding RNA. RefSeq lists it as uncharacterized. The record is from RefSeq and is a predicted model, not a curated record. The transcript is spliced from 2 exons. Lineage: Eukaryota; Viridiplantae; Streptophyta; Magnoliopsida; Fagales; Juglandaceae.
CUCCCAAUUGUAAGGAAAUUAGGAAUAUGGUUUGCAUCAAACGAAAGCAACAGCGAAGCAGGACAUGCUUUGGCCAGCCUCCAACAUUUACACCGCCUUCGAAAAUUGAAAAUUAUAAACUGUUCGGAGAUUCUUAGUCUGCCGAAUUCAUUUCCAGAGGCAAUCACAAAAAUAACCUUGCGACAAGUGUGCUUAGAAGACGGUGACUGCAUGAAAGUGCUGGGAAAUCUCGUCAAUCUUCAGAUUCUGAAAUUACAAAGCUGCUUGCUUUCCAGUCAGCUCUACAUCUUUGGAGAUUCGUUUCCUGCACUCAUAUUUCUUAAAUUGGAAAAUUUGAGGAUUAAAGAAUGGAAACAGGGGGAAGGUGGAAUGCUGGACCAAAGGCAUUUGGUUGUCGAUCGAUGCUUUGGGUUGAACAUGCUUCCUUGGGAAUUAUGCAAUUUGAUUAACUUGCGAGAGGUGGAGGUGUUAGAAGGCAUAUUAGUGUCGGUAAAGGUGCUUCAGGAAUUGCAGAGGAAGGCUGAGAUUAAGGUACUGAUCGAUCCUCCCCUAGAUGACUUUCCUGGUGAAUCCGCCAAUUGAUAGAUUUACCACUUAGUGUAAUUUAUCUAGCUUUAUGUUUUAUACUAUUACGAGGUCGUCCCCUCGAGUGUUGUUGACUUGGGUUGCAGCCAAAGCAAACAAGGGAAGGCAUGAUCUUUGUUUCGUUUUCUAAACUCCAAGUCCUUUAAACUGGAAAAUUUGAUGAUUAAAGGAUGGAACAGGGGAGAGGUGCGCUGCGGCAGCUUUAAGGCAUUUGGUUAUCGAUCGAUGCUAUGAGUUGACUUUGCUCCCUUCAGAGAUAUUCUGUUGGAAUUUCUUUGGAGAGGUGGAGGUGUAAGAGAGCAACUCGAUAGAUGCAGAGACAUUGCAGGAAUUUCAGAAAACGUCUGGGUUCAAGCUACUGAUCGAUCAACCUCUAGAUGGUGAUUUUUAUGGAGAAAUCGCAGCGUCAAAAUUUGAACAUUUCUAGUUUUAUGUUUCUGCAAUGCUUGCUAAUGUGGUGAUAGGGAACUUCGUCACGUACAGAAAUUGUUGUUUCCUAGUCCGUUGGUUUUGUCUGCUUGUCAUGUAAUGAUUUAUAGUUAAGGAAUUUAUGCUUUACGUC